GUCUAUGGCCAUGCCACUCUGAACGUGCCUGAUCUUGUCUGAUCUCGGAAGCUAAGCAGGGUUGGGCCUGGUUAGUACUUGGAUAGGAGACCACCUAGGACCAGGUGCUGUAGGCG
This 116-nucleotide ribosomal RNA is filed under the name Pteropus alecto (black flying fox). The record is from RNAcentral. Lineage: Eukaryota; Metazoa; Chordata; Mammalia; Chiroptera; Pteropodidae.